This 240-nucleotide ribosomal RNA is filed under the name uncultured Lactobacillus sp. Its description in RNAcentral is "partial 16S ribosomal RNA". It matches the Rfam family "Bacterial small subunit ribosomal RNA", at positions 123 to 354 of the family's 1533-position model. The record is from RNAcentral. Lineage: Bacteria; Bacillati; Bacillota; Bacilli; Lactobacillales; Lactobacillaceae.
AACCUGCCCCAUAGUCUGGGAUACCACUUGGAAACAGGUGCUAAUACCGGAUAAGAAAGCGGAUCGCAUGAUCAGCUUUUAAAAGGCGGCGUAAGCUGUCGCUAUGGGAUGGCCCCGCGGUGCAUUAGCUAGUUGGUAAGGUAAAGGCUUACCAAGGCGAUGAUGCAUAGCCGAGUUGAGAGACUGAUCGGCCACAUUGGGACUGAGACACGGCCCAAACUCCUACGGGAGGCAGCAGAC